CAGUGGUACAUCGACCCUGAGCACUGAUGGCUCAUUCUACAAUCAGCCAGUGACUUAUUUUGAUAUGUAUAUACAUUAUUAUUUGUCAUGGCAUGAGGGAUUAAACUACAUCACAGUAUCCACUUAUACCUCGGUGAGUUAAUGCUUGCAUGUAUAAUUAUGUUCUACCCUAUUCAUUUUACCUCCCCCUCUGAAGGUGUACCAAGUACCCAUAGAGGAGUGUUCCCAGCGUAUAGACUGUACCAGUUGUACCAAUGACCCCAACCCGUUGUGUGCAGGGGCGUAGCUAGACAUUUACUAAAGGGGUUUCUGAAGGAAUGAAAGCACCGAAGGUGCUGAUGCCUCGGUAGCCUCGAUCCCAGGCCGAGUUUUCGCUUUUAUAACGGUUAGGCGAACAACUGGGCCUGGUACUAGUUGUCUGCGCAUGCGUCAAUCGUUCGUCAGAUUCUGACGAAUGGAUAUUCUCGUUCACUUUCGUGACAUUUAUAUUCGUGUACUAUCGUGUACUAGAAGUCAGUUCCCGUUUUAUCAUUAUUGGAAUCGAUUGGAAUGGCUCUUAGCUGAAGCUUCUCUCUUCUCUGAAGCUUAUUCUGAAGACUGAACAACAAGGGAAGAGGUAUAAAGCUUUGUCAAGCUUGUUAAGGUCAGAUAUUUUUGUGUGGGCCCUAUGGCCGGCUAUGCUAUCAAGUCUUGUUCAUGUUUGGCAAGAAUGUAGGUAGACUAUAGUUUCAUCAUUAAUAUGGUGGAUCAAGUGAAGAGUGUGAGCUAGAGAACUUGGUGCUGCCAUCAUCAGCUCGUCGACAAUGACACUAUAACCGAGAAAUUUAAUAUGUAUAGAUCUACACGUAUUUAAAAUGUCUACUUCUCUGUACAGGAGCAAUGGCUAAUAUCCAGCUAUCCCAACAGUGCUCCUCUUGGCUAUACUAACGGACGAGACUGGACAGUUUGAGACACAGGACUGGAGUAUGACCUGCUCAUUCGAGCGUUGCUGGGUAGCUCAGAGACAUCAAGAGAAUCUACGUUUUCUCAAGCAAUGAGUUACGAGUUGGGGCCUAGAAUCAGAGAAGUCCAGCAGCCUGCUAAAUCUUUUUGAAACGUAAUUUGAAGGCAUUCAAUCAUCCUGAAGUUGCCCUGGGUCACUGUAAUUGUGCUGCAGCACAACUGGCAACUCCCCAGGCCUUUGUGAAGCAGCUCCCUAUGUGCAUCUUUUGUGUAUUCACUCUGUGCAUUUUCUGUGUACAAAUUUCUAUUAUUGAUUUAUUAAAUAUUUUUGCCGACCACAAAUAUACAAUGAAAA
Halichondria panicea is the source of this 1297-nucleotide long non-coding RNA. RefSeq lists it as uncharacterized. The record is from RefSeq and is a predicted model, not a curated record. NCBI's taxonomy places the organism in Eukaryota, Metazoa, Porifera, Demospongiae, Suberitida, Halichondriidae. The transcript has 2 exons.